This 697-nucleotide ribosomal RNA is filed under the name uncultured cyanobacterium. RNAcentral describes it as "bacterial SSU rRNA". It matches the Rfam family "Bacterial small subunit ribosomal RNA", at positions 66 to 804 of the family's 1533-position model. Lineage: Bacteria; Bacillati; Cyanobacteriota. The record is from RNAcentral.
ACGGGAUGCUUCGGCAUCUAGUGGCGGACGGGUGAGUAACGCGUGAGAAUUUGCCUUCAGGACGGGGACAACAGUUGGAAACGACUGCUAAUACCCGAUAUGCCUAUCAGUGAAAUGAUUUAUCGCCUGAAGAUAAGCUCGCGUCAGAUUAGCUAGUUGGUGGGGUAAAGGCUCACCAAGGCAACGAUCUGUAGCUGGUCUGAGAGGAUGACCAGCCACACUGGGACUGAGACACGGCCCAGACUCCUACGGGAGGCAGCAGUGGGGAAUUUUCCGCAAUGGGCGCAAGCCUGACGGAGCAAGACCGCGUGGGGGAGGAAGGUUUGUGGACUGUAAACCCCUUUUAUCAGAGAAGAACACAAUGACGGUAUCUGAUGAAUCAGCCUCGGCUAACUCCGUGCCAGCAGCCGCGGUAAUACGGAGGAGGCAAGCGUUAUCCGGAAUUAUUGGGCGUAAAGCGUCCGUAGGUGGCAGUUCAAGUCCAUUGUCAAAGCGUGGAGCUUAACUCCAUAAAGGCAGUGGAAACUGAAUCGCUGGAGUGCGACAGGGGCAAGGGGAAUUCCUAGUGUAGCGGUGAAAUGCGUAGAGAUUAGGAAGAACACCGGUGGCGAAAGCGCCUUGCUGGGUCUGCACUGACACUGAUGGACGAAAGCUAGGGGAGCGAAAGGGAUUAGAUACCCCUGUAGUCCUAGCUGUA